GCUGGGCGUCGUGGUGCAUGCCUGUAAUCCUAGCAGCUUGGGAGGCUGAGGAAGGAGGAUUGCGAGUUCAAAGCCAGCCUCAGCAACUUAGUGAGACUCUGUCUCUA
RNAcentral lists this small RNA (107 nucleotides) under Marmota monax (woodchuck). The record is from RNAcentral. Lineage: Eukaryota; Metazoa; Chordata; Mammalia; Rodentia; Sciuridae.